Molecule: long non-coding RNA, 714 nt
Organism: Oncorhynchus masou masou (cherry salmon)
Lineage: Eukaryota; Metazoa; Chordata; Actinopteri; Salmoniformes; Salmonidae
Exons: 3
Source: RefSeq, a predicted model, not a curated record
GUUAGAACGGGUUCAAGCCCGGGCUCUGGCGGGGCCACUUCAGGGACAUUCAGAGACUUGUCCCGAAGCCACUCCUGUGUUGUCUUGGCCGUGUGCUUAGGGUUGUUGUCCUGUUAGAAGGUGAACCUUUGCCUCAGUCUGAGGUCCUGAGCGCUCUGGAGAAGGGUUUCAUCAAGGAUCUCUCUCUACUUUGCUCUGUUCUCAUUCAUAUAUCUUUAUGUACAUAUUCUUUAUCCCCUUACACUUGUGUAUAAGACAGUAGUUUUGGAAUUGUUAGUUAGAUUACUUGUUGGUUAUUACUGCAUUGUCGGAACUAGAAGCACAAGCAUUUCGCUACACUCGCAUUAACAUCUGCUAACCAUGUGUAUGUGACAAAUAAAUUUGAUUUGUUUGUUCAUCUUUCCCUCGAUCCUAACUAGUCUCCAAGUCUCUACCUCUGAAAAACAUCCCCACAGGCUGAUGCUGCAAACAAUAGCUGACUGAGGCCAUGUCAGCGGUGUGGAUCAGCUCCUCGCUACUGAGGUCCAGGGCAACUCACCUCAGACAGCUCAGUGUGUUCUCUAGAAGGGCUGUGUUACAACCUCUACUGGUGGUCUCCUCACUACAGAAGACAUGGACACCUGGGAACCCAACCUGGUGCUGUAGAUCCCUCCAUGUGGACAGUCCCCCCUGGUCCCAGGGCAGAGCUUCAGCUACGUCCAUGGGGCCUCCUCA